CCUACGGGUGGCAGCAGUGAGGAAUAUUGGUCAAUGGACGAGAGUCUGAACCAGCCAAGUAGCGUGAAGGAGGACUGCCCUAUGGGUUGUAAACUUCUUUUAUCUGGGAAUAAAAUGUUCCACGUGUGGGAUUCUGUAUGUACCAUAUGAAUAAGGAUCGGCUAACUCCGUGCCAGCAGCCGCGGUAAUACGGAGGAUCCGAGCGUUAUCCGGAUUUAUUGGGGGUAAAGGGAGCGUAGGUGGAUGGUUAAGGCCGUUGGGAAAGUUUGCGGCUCAAACGUAAAAUUGCAGUUGAAACUGGCAGUCUUGAGUACAGUAGAGGUGGGCGGAAUUCGUGGUGUAGCGGUGAAAUGCUUAGAUAUCACGAAGAACUCCGAUUGCGAAGGCAGCUCACUGGACUGCAACUGACACUGAGGCUCGAAAGUGUGGGUAUCAAACAGGAUUAGAUACCCUUGUAGUC
Molecule: ribosomal RNA, 460 nt
Filed under: uncultured bacterium
Lineage: Bacteria
Description: partial 16S ribosomal RNA
Rfam family: Bacterial small subunit ribosomal RNA
Source: RNAcentral